AGUGAACGCUGGCGGUAGGCCUAACACAUGCAAGUCGAACGGCAGCACAGUAAGAGCUUGCUCUUACGGGUGGCGAGUGGCGGACGGGUGAGGAAUACAUCGGAAUCUACUUUUUCGUGGGGGAUAACGGAGGGAAACUUACGCUAAUACCGCAUACGACCUACGGGUGAAAGCAGGGGAUCUUCGGAGCUUUCGCGAUUGAAUGAGCCGAUGUCGGAUUAGCUAGUUGGCGGGGUAAAGGCCCACCAAGGCGACGAUCCGUAGCUGGUCUGAGAGGAUGAUCAGCCACACUGGAACUGAGACACGGUCCAGACUCCUACGGGAGGCAGCAGUGGGGAAUAUUGGACAAUGGGCGCAAGCCUGAUCCAGCCAUGCCGCGUGAGUGAAGAAGGCCUUCGGGUUGUAAAGCCCUGUUAUUAGGAAAGAAAAGCAGCAGGUUAAUACCCCGCUGUUCUGACGGUACCCAAAGAAUAAGCACCGGCUAACUUCGUG
Molecule: ribosomal RNA, 492 nt
Filed under: uncultured bacterium
Lineage: Bacteria
Description: partial 16S ribosomal RNA
Rfam family: Bacterial small subunit ribosomal RNA
Source: RNAcentral